GUGGCAUCUUGGACGCGCGCAUCGUGAAAAAGGUCUGAUCAUUGGGUAUGGUUGAGCAGAGAUGGGCAAUCUACAAUGAGAGCAAACAAUGGGAGCAUACUCAGUCUACUUGAGAGCUUGAAGAGCUUUGGGUAUGCGCAGCAGGUUAUGGCUGCAGGUAUAUUUAGUCCUGUUCAGCAUUCUUGGUUACGGACAAGAAAGCUUUCUACUCUGAAGUAAAGAGUUCGUAGGUGGUAAACGUAAGUUUUCUUCAAAGAGCCCUAGUUGUCUAAUAUAACUAAACAUAGAGACAGAUAUUUGAGACUACCCACUACAGUAUAUGUGAAACUAUAUCUUUGUAGCUAUAUCUUUUUAUACAGUCGGUAGUUCAAACUAUGGACAGUUCAAACUCGCGAUACCGAACAUUAUCACUGAUAUCUGAUAUUGAGAUUACGGGAUAUUAUCAUUGUUUUACUCUAACUAUAUAUGCUAUUAGUAUAUAACAAGAGACCAUCAUGGUCUCAUUUUAUUUGACAAUUUAAACUCUUGAAUGUUCUUCGAAACUACAUGCCAUUUUCACCCCUUGGUUUAGACACCAUUUAUUUCUAUUCGUUAUUUCGUUUAAAGGAAAAUGUUGUAGUCACGCGCUCUUUGAGCAUGCGCAGUUAAGUUUUAAAAGUUGCUUAGAGUUUUUGCUUAAAGUUACCUCAUUGUGACUUUAUUGAUUAUUUUGUAAAUACGCAGGGACGUGUAAUCUUGAUGUACUAAAACCAUACCAUCUUUGUCUCCAUAAAUAACCACGUAUCACAGGCGUAUCUAGACGUAAUUUGAGCUUGAGUACCCCUUUCUAGUGUGAAACCUCUAAACUUUUAAAGCCUAACACGGCGUGCUCCAGACUUAUCGGACUUACCUCAAACUGCUUAAAUGAUAAAAGGUCAGAGCACAAGGAGUAUAAAGGCACUCCCUGAAAUCACCCGGCUCACUUGAGGGCUAUCUCUCAGACGAGGACGCGUGCUCCAAGUUAGCUGCAUUUUCAAGAUGGAAGGUGAAAUUGAGGACGAAUCUAUCGAUGCAUUUAGCAAGGGGUUUAUCACAAACAAGAACUUUGUCACGGACUACUUACAUUACCUGAAAGACCUUGAGUUUAAAAAGAAAAAGAGGCAAGGGUGACAGCUAACGAAAAAGAGAAGAAGCGAGAUCUCUCGCUCUGGAGAUUUAAAGAAAGAGAAAGUGUCUGUCCUAGAUCUCUAUAUUAGGCACCACAAGCUUAAAUGCCCGCGAAGUAGUAGUAGUAGUAGUAAGUAGUAAUGCUUUAUUUAUACACGGUAAACUCUCAGUAUAAUAGUUAUCUUAUAAUAUCUAAUUAUUAUCUUAUUUAUAAUAUCUAAUCUAAGCUAUAAAAAAAUAUAUACUAAAUAGUUAUUAAAAUACUGCUUCUCAGAGUGCUGGUGAGGGGCUUUGGAAUAGCUAAUUUGCCCUCGCUGUCUCUCAACGUAUACCUGGUAACGCUAUUACGAUCCAUAAAAAGAGAUGACAAAUAGUCCGGUGCUAGACCAUGCAGUGAUUUAUGGACCAUAAUAGCUUUUUGAAACUUCCUUUGGCUCUCGAGUCUUUUCCAGCCUAGCUGAUGAAUAAGAGGGUCGGCACUAGUGUAAUAGCUAGAAAAAGUCAUAACCCUUGCCGCUCGGUUUUGUAACUUUUAAAGUUUAUAGGCUAGGGAAAUGUUACAAUUGUCCCAGGCGAGAGAGCAAUAAUCAAAAUGUGGUUGGACUUUAGAAUUGUAAAUGUACCGCAAUGUUGUAGCUGGGACAAAUUGUCUAAUACGCUUCAGGGCUCCGAUGCCGUAUGCGAUCUUUUUGGUUAAUUUGUGUAUAUGCUCACCCCAAGAAAGAUUUUCAUCAAUAAGCACCCCAAGAGAUUUGGUAUGGGGUACUUGCUUUACGGGUACCCCUUCGAUUGCCAAAGAGGUGCUGAUUCGAAGGUGGAAAGACGUUGUCUGGAGCCAAUAAGCAUGAACUCCGUCUUAGAUUGGUUCAGGGUGAGCAUAUUAUCGACAAGCCACUCACCAACAUUCGCAAGGUCUUGAUUUAAAUAAAGAUUUAUGUCUUCAA
Long non-coding RNA from Nematostella vectensis (starlet sea anemone), 2090 nucleotides. RefSeq lists it as uncharacterized. The transcript is spliced from 2 exons. The record is from RefSeq and is a predicted model, not a curated record. Lineage: Eukaryota; Metazoa; Cnidaria; Anthozoa; Actiniaria; Edwardsiidae.